Molecule: long non-coding RNA, 442 nt
Filed under: Chinchilla lanigera (long-tailed chinchilla)
Lineage: Eukaryota; Metazoa; Chordata; Mammalia; Rodentia; Chinchillidae
Description: lncRNA (ENSCLAG00000023394.1)
Source: RNAcentral
UAAGCUUGUGUGUCUGAUUUAUUUUACUUAACAUGAUGGUCUCAAGGUGCAUCCACUUUUCCACAGAUGUUCUUGGUUCUGGCAGAAUAGUAGUACUCCACUGUGUGUAAAUACCACACGAGCUUCUCUGUAGUCACCUCUCUCCCGGCCCUGGACAUACCUGGCAAGUGCCGUCUGCCUGGUUGUGAACCUUCCAGAAAAAGGAACAAAACUUCCAGUGUCAUCAACCAGGCUUGGAGCGAAGGGAAAAGGCCAGCUGAUAAGCCGAGCUCCCUGCUCAGGAAUGAAGGGAGCGGCUGCUCCUGCUUGGGAAUACACAACCCUGCUGAAUUUCCGGUAGUGCUGAUGGAAAGAACCAAAGCCGUUGACACUGCUAAAACUGAACUUCUAAAGCCUGAUUUUCCCACAUGCCAUCAUUAAAGGCAUCACAGAACCAUUCCCC